AUGAAUAAGGAGACUCCUGUGUCCAAAAGCCAAGCCCUUUACCCUGUUCUUUACCUUCCUCUCUCUAAAUUACCCCCCGAGUCACCAAGGGGCUUCCAUGGUGGCUCAGGGGGUAAACAGCCUGCCUGCAAUACAGGAGACCUGGGUUUGAUCCCUGGGUUGGAAAGGUUCCCUGGAGAAGAAAAUGGCAACCCACUCCAGUAUUCUUGCCUGGAGAAUUCCACGGACAGAGGAGCCUGGAGGGCUACAGUCCCUGGGUUAGGACUGAGUGACUAACUUUCACUUUCAUGCUAGAUAACACUUAUUCUUCAACCUCUUGAGUCAUCAUCAUCUUAAACACUGGUUGACAUCUUAGUGGACUAGAAGUUUUUCUUCCAUUCUCUCUCCUCCUCCUUCCAUUCUCUCCUCCUCCUCUCUCUCCUCCUACUUGCAUCUCAAUUUUUAAAUUAUUAUUAUUAUUUUGCUGUACUGGGUCUUCGUUGCUGCGCAUGGCUUUGUCUAUUUGUGGGGAGUGGAAGCCACUCUCUCUAGCUCUGGUGUGUGGGCUUCUCGUUGCUUUGGCUUCUCUUAUUGCAGAGCACAGGCUCUAGAGUGCAGGUUCAGCAGUUUCCGUGCAUGGGCUUAGGUGCUGUACAGCAUGUGGGAUCUUCUGGAACCAGGGAUCAAACCCACGUCCCUUAUGUUGGCGUGUGGAUUCUUAACCAUUGGACCACCCUCAUAAUGGACGUUGCUUAUAAUUGUUUUAAAUCCUUUGUCUACACCUUCACUACUAUGUAUUCCCAGCCUGAUUACUAGACUGUGAUUCUACUUCCUUUCUUUUUUGUUUUUCCUAUUAAUAAUUACCUCAUUUUUCAUCAACUUAGGCUUGUUUUGUAAAAAGCAAUUGACUAAACUUUUCCAUGCCCUCGAUGUAAUUUUCCACAUGACCAAACCUGUCUGAUAAUUUGUCAGUCUCAUUUAUUUUCCUGGGGACAAACUCCCUCACCCCUUAGAGCCUUCAGCUAUCCUGCUGAUCAGGUCUAGCUGUUCCCUGGGCCAAGGCACAGCUGGUCUCCAGAUAUUCUCUUAGCCAAUACUCAAGGAAUUCCGUCCCUGUCUCCCCUGGGUUGGGGUCCCUGUUCCUGGAUCCCACAUCUUCUUUCUCAGCUCCUGGUUUUAGUUGAGCACAUCCUUCAGGAGUUUCAUGAGAAAAGGGACGUGGGUGGACAAGUUAUUCUGAGAUAUUAUGUGUCUAGAAAAGUCCUCAUUUCACCAUCACAUUCAGUUGAUAGCCUGG
Long non-coding RNA from Bos indicus x Bos taurus (hybrid cattle), 1276 nucleotides. NCBI's taxonomy places the organism in Eukaryota, Metazoa, Chordata, Mammalia, Artiodactyla, Bovidae. The record is from Ensembl.